This 336-nucleotide unclassified non-coding RNA is filed under the name soil metagenome. RNAcentral's name for it is "partial contains 5.8S ribosomal RNA, internal transcribed spacer 2, and large subunit ribosomal RNA". The stretch from base 1 to 119 matches the Rfam family "5.8S ribosomal RNA", at positions 35 to 154 of the family's 154-position model. The record is from RNAcentral.
GAUGAAGACGCAGCGAAAUGCGAUAAGUAGUGUGAAUUGCAGAAUUCAGUGAAUCAUCGAAUCUUUGAACGCACAUUGCGCCCCUUGGUAUUCCAUGGGGCAUGCCUGUUCGAGCGUCAUUUGUACCUUCAAGCUCUGCUUGGUGUUGGGUGUUUGUCUCGCCUCUGCGUGUAGACUCGCCUUAAAACAAUUGGCAGCCGGCGUAUUGAUUUCGGAGCGCAGUACAUCUCGCGCUUUGCACUCAUAACGACGACGUCCAAAAGUACAUUUUUACACUCUUGACCUCGGAUCAGGUAGGGAUACCCGCUGAACUUAAGCAUAUCAAUAAGCGGAGGA